GACAACAGAACCUGUAGUUGUUUGAAGAGGAGGUUUCACUAGUGACCUGUACCCUUGGUAAUAACAGGCUUUAUAGUUAACAAAAUGUGUUCUCUCCCUACUUAAUAACAAAACACCAAUCAUGAGAUAAUGCUUAGCAAAGCUGACUCAUUUCCUCCUUUACAGAUGAAAGGAGUUGUCCAAGAAAUGACAAUCUCCCAGGGGAAUUUUCCUUCAGGUCAUUACCCAAGCAAGGUUUGGAGAUUCUGCAGCUGUCACCCCCAGCGUCUCUGUAGGAUAGCCUCGUGCCCCUCUUCACCCAGGUCUGCAGGAGGGUGGCAGCGCGGCUUGAGAAGGCUGGGUGGCGGAGCUCGGAGGCGUGCAGUGUUCCCACCACACUGCGGUGGCUCAACUGCCCGGGCUGUGGGGUUUCCAGCUGGGUCAUGUUGACUUGAACCGACUCAGCAGGCGGUGACCCCCUGGAGCACCUGAAGCCUUCAGAGAAAUAUGAUGGAAAACCAAGAGGCCUCCACCUCCCUGACUUGCUGCAACCUCCUGGGCUUUGCAGUCGGGCUGCUUUUGCAGAUGCACUCCUCAAAGCUAGCUCGGCAGACAUUUAUUUUUAAAUAUACAGGAAGCCAAAGACGUUGAGAGAAAAGCCGCCUAAUGCAUUCCUCCGCUCAUCUCCAAAGUCAUCGCUAGUUUUCUAGACGCGAUUUUCAUCGGUCUUUCCGAAGACAGAAAGAGCCUCCUCUACAUAGGGCUUCCUUCUUUGCCUUCAUCUGUAAUGUGAGCCUUGCCCUAGGUUGCCUCUUUCUCUACUUGCUCUGUCUGCUUCACAGUUCUCCUGUCAUUUCAGCAGUUGUACCAUGCUUUUUGUUGUUAGGAAAUCACAAAUUGUGAAACACAUUCAAGUGAGCACAUUUAAAAAUAACCUAGGCUUCUCUACUAUUUAGAGACCAAUGGUAUUGUUCCGAAUUUGGAGUCUGAGAGUCUCAACCUCGCCUUAUCCUUCACCAGCCAGGACAGCGGCUAGGACUGAAGUUGUUUGAAUGCAAAACAAAGGCUUGGAGUGCAUGGGAACACAUUUUAGGGGUGCCGCAGCUGGAAGUCAGCCUCUGAGGGUCUCCUGCAAGACUCAGGCUUGGACGUGAGUAGUGGCCUCCAAGGGCCUGGACCUCACACAGCUCAAGUGAUACCAGCCCAGCUCUUUGCCAAGCUUCCUCUAGACAAUACGGCCUGUAUUCCUCUAGACAAUACAUUCCUAGACAAUACGGACUGAAUCAUGUCCCCUCAAAUCCAUAUAUUGAAGUCCUAACCCUAAAUGUGACUGUAUUUGGAGACAGGGCAUUUAAGGAGGUCAUUCAGGUUAAAUGAUGUCAUAAGGUCGGGUCCCUAAUCCAACAAGACUGGUGUCCUCACAAGAAGAGGAAGAAGCCCAGCGAUCUCUUUCUCUCCCACGCACACAAAGGGAAGGCCAUGUGAGGACACUGAGAAGGUGGCCCUUUGAAUCCAAGGGGAGAGGCCUUGUCAGACAUCAACACUGCUGGCACCUCAAUCUUGGACUUUCCAUCUCCAGAACUGAGAGGAAAUGCAUUUUUCUUUUGGUUGAAGCGCCCAGGCUGCGGGGUUCUGUUUCAGCAGCCUGAGCUGCCGAAGAAGGGGGGUUGUUUCAAGCACCUGAUCCACCUGCCUUGGCCUCCCAAAGUGCUGAGGUUUCAGGGAUGUGCCACCAUGC
Long non-coding RNA from Macaca mulatta (Rhesus monkey), 1717 nucleotides. RefSeq lists it as uncharacterized. The record is from RefSeq and is a predicted model, not a curated record. NCBI's taxonomy places the organism in Eukaryota, Metazoa, Chordata, Mammalia, Primates, Cercopithecidae.